ACAUAAACAAUAGGGCAGAGGAAGCAAUCGGAUAGGCAUUUGCUUCAGGUGAGCAGAGGGAUGACUUUCUGUCCCACAUCUGUGAAGAUCAGCUGUUGGUUUACAUUGCCAGGGUGAAAUUCAACAGAACUAAUUUAGGGUGAAGAUCUUGAGGCCCACAAGGAAUUUCCUUGUGGGAAAAUUGUGAGGAAGAGCAAUCACUGCACCCAGCCACCUCUAUAUACAUGUACACAAAGCCACACAGUUUACACAGUCACAGGUAUUUAAGUACACACUAUUCACACACAAAUACAUAUAUAGACACACAUGUACAGUCCGUCCAAAAUAUAUGUACAUAAAAGCACACUAUUACACCUUCAUAUGUGCACACACACACACACCCAGACUCACUUCAUACACACAUAGAUACAACAGCCACAGCUCCCCAUCACCUACACACACACACACACACCUGGACACCCAGCUCUAAUAUAAUCAGAUAGAGAUAUGCAUGCAGACAAAUUUGCCUGUAUAGUCAAACACAUAGGCAAAUAGAGAACGAGACACCACAUGAACAAAGGCAAACCUACACACAAAGACACAGAGCACACUUACGCAUAUAUCUAUAGACCCACCAUGGCACAUAUGGGUAAGUGCACACAGGCAAACUCACACACACGAGCAUGCACAGGCAGAGAACACAAAUGUACACUCCCAGGUGUCAUAAAGAACAGCCCAGCUUCGGCUUGGGAACGUCACAUCAGACAAUAGGAACGGCUGCACCGCGCGUUUCCUCGGCUGCCAGCUUCCCAGCCACAGAGGAUGCCUCACCUGCUAUGUCAGCUCCCCUCUGCCCCACCUCACAAGAAGCUCAGAAGCUGAGGAGUCACAGAGAGACCUCCCUACUGUGUCAGAGGUACAGCUUGAGCAAAGACACAGAAGCAGAAGGCAGGUUUUUGGUUCCAUGAACUCUACAUCUGGCUACAUACAAAUGGUGAAGAGGAACAGGGAGAAACAUGGUUGAAAAGAACAGGCUUGGACUUCAGGAAGCAGUAAAAUGAGCGAAUGCCAUUUAUGGUUACAAAGAUAACUCAGCUGGGGGCCAAACAGAGACUGAAAUGGAGUGGGUGAGGAUGGAGGCCGGGAGGAGAUGGCUGCAGAGGUCCCAGCAAUGACAGUGGUUGUGGGAAGGGGCAACCCCAAGUCUUGUGCUCCCAACUGCAAAUCCAGUGCUUUUUCUAAAAAAAUAUUUAAAUAAUUUAUUUAUUUUUGAGAUGGAGUCUCGCUCUGUCACCCAGGCUGGAGUGCAGUGACACAAUGUCGGCUCGUGCAACCUCUGCCCCCCGGGUUCAAGCGAUUCUCCUGCCUCAGCCUCCCAAGUAGCUGGGAUUACAGACGCACGCCUCCACGCCUGGCUAAUUUUUUAUAUUUUUGGUAGAGAUGGGGUUUCACCAUGUUGCCCAGGCUGGUCUCGAACUCCUGACUUCAAGUGAUCCACCCACCUCGGCCUCCCAAAGUAC
RNAcentral lists this long non-coding RNA (1499 nucleotides) under Homo sapiens (human). RNAcentral's name for it is "PREDICTED lncRNA (TCONS_00221608)". Lineage: Eukaryota; Metazoa; Chordata; Mammalia; Primates; Hominidae. The record is from RNAcentral.